CCGCCGCCUUCCCGAGGUGCGCGGCGCCCCCUGCCGCCAGCCGGAGGAGCGCAGGGCCCGCUCGCAGGAGGCCGGGAACAUGGCGGGGCAGCCCGCGGCCUCAGGCUCCCAGUCUCCCGACAGGGACGGAAUGGAGCCCAACGUCGUGGCUCGGAUCUCGCAGUGGGCAGACGACCACCUGCGCCUAGUCCGGAACAUCAGCACUGGAAUGGCCAUAGUUGGAAUAAUGUUACUUCUAAGAAGCAUUCGACUGACAUCAAAAUUUACAAGCGCUUCAGAUAUUCCAGUAGAAUUUAUAAGAAGAAAUGUUAAACUACGUGGACGAUUACGCCGAAUAACUGAGAAUGGUUUAGAAAUUGAACAUAUACCUAUUACUUUACCUAUUAUAGCUUCGUUGAGAAAGGAGCCACGUGGUGCUUUGCUGGUUAAGCUGGCUGGAGUAGAACUCACUGAAACUGGGAAGGCAUGGUUACAAAAAGAGCUAAAACCUUCCCAAUUACUAUGGUUCCAACUUCUUGGAAAGGAGAAUUCAGCACUCUUUUGCUAUCUUUUAGUGAAUAAGGGUGGAUAUUUCAGCGUGAAUCUGAAUGAAGAAAUUUUGAGAAGAGGUCUUGGCAAAACUGUUCUUGUUAAAGGGCUUAAAUAUGAUUCUAAAAUCUAUUGGAGAGUUCACAGAAACUUACUUAAAGCUGAAUUAACAGCCUUAAAAAAAGGAGAAGGAAUAUGGAAGGAAGACUCUGAAAAAGAAAGUUAUUUGGAAAAAUUAAAAGAUUCCUGGAGAAUAUGGAAAAAGGACAGUUUUCUAAAAACAACAGGAUCAGAUUUCAACUUGAAAAAAGAAAGUUAUUAUGACAAACUUAGAAGGACUUAUGAAAUAUGGAAAGACAACAUGAACAACUACUCCUUAAUACUGAAGUUCAAAGAACUUAUAAGUCGCAUACACUUUCGUAGAAAAGGGUGAAACAGUCAAGAGAUCUAGAGGCUCUGCCUAUUAGUGAGAUGUGAAAUCAAUUAAAAAAGAAAAAGAUAAAGGAACAGAACAGGAUAAAAUAUAUCAGAGUGCAUUGAAAAUAGCAAAGAUGGAUGUCCCUGUGCUUGAAGAAGCAGAGCUAAUUCAACCCCAGACUUCUCAGCCAGGCGGAUUUCAACCUUGUAUUGAGCUACCAGCAGGAGUUCUUUAUACUUGGAAAAGUGGUAAAUCCUUACUAAAAGAUCAUAGCUUGCAUGACCAAGAGAUCAUCUAGAAAAGGUACUUUAUUACCAUGUAGGAUGUUUGUCUUACCUGCCCAAAGAAGUUUUAAUGUAGGUCUCAUUUUCUCCAGUUCCCCUUUAACCAGUGAAAGAGGAGGGCAUUAUUUGUUUUGUUUUUCUAUUUAUUCUUCGGUAACCAUGGAAGAGUUUGUGUAACCUAGAGAGGCUGCUUAUUACCCACUUUCUAAUCCCUGUGUUAUUAUUCCAUACUCUGAUUGUCACAAGCAGGAAAAAUAGUUCUGUCCUGCUUCUAAAAACUUAGCAAUGUAACAAAUUUUCUUGUUUUUAGUGAUUUUCUCCAAUUAAUUAAUUAAUUGUUUUAGUGAUUUUUCUCUGAUAAAUAAUGUUAAAAAGACUUGGAGAGAAAAGCUACAUUAAAAGAUUAUGGAUGUAUAAAUAUCCUAAACAUUUAAGAACAUGCAUAAUUAUGAUUCAUAUCAACUUCAGAAUUAUUACCCUUGGAAAGGGGUGGGGGUAACGAGUCAGGAGUUGGGGUUUAGCCGUAUCUGUAAUACUUUAUUUAAAAAAGAAGGGGUUGGGGGAGCAGGAGUAUUACAUGGUGUAUGUCCUGUUUUUGGUAGGUUUGAAAUACCACACAAUUAAAAAAUUUGAAAGUUUACAAAAUUAUGGGAGUUGAUUAAAACUAUCAAAAUAAAGUGCAUAGCAAACAAGUGCUCUUAUUAGAAA
This is an RNA transcript of Macaca mulatta (Rhesus monkey), 1938 nucleotides long. It is a transcript of the gene named chromosome 2 C3orf33 homolog, with no coding region annotated. The record is from RefSeq and is a predicted model, not a curated record. Lineage: Eukaryota; Metazoa; Chordata; Mammalia; Primates; Cercopithecidae.